AACGCUGGCGGCGUGCCUAUACAUGCAAGUCGAACGGAGAUUGUAGCAAUACUUUCUUAGUGGCGAACGGGUGAGUAACGCGUUGGUGACCUGCCCCGAAGUGAGGGAUAACAGCCCGAAAGGGUUGCUAAUACCUCAUGCGGUUCUGGAGAUUAGAUGCUCCUUAACCAAAGGAGAAAUCCGCUUUGGGAGGGACCUGCGUCCCAUCAGCUUGUUGGUAGGGUAAAGGCCUACCAAGGCUAUGACGGGUAGGGGACCUGAGAGGGUGGCCCCCCACAAUGGAACUGAAACACGGUCCAUACACCUACGGGUGGCAGCAGUAGGGAAUAUUGGUAAUGGGCGAAAGCCUGAACCAGCAACGCCGCGUGUGCGAUGAAGGCCUUCGGGUUGUAAAGCACUUUUUAAGAGGAUGAGGAAGGACAGUACUCUUAGAAUAAGCCUCGGCUAACUACGUGCCAGCAGCCGCGGUAACACGUAGGAGGCAAGCGUUAUUCGGAUUUACUGGGCGUAAAGCGCGUGCAGGCGGUUUGGUAAGUUGGAUGUGAAAGCUCCUGGCUUAACUGGGAGAGGUCGUUCAAUACUACCAGACUAGAGGAUGGGAGAGGGAGGUGGAAUUCCGGGUGUAGUGGUGAAAUGCGUAGAUAUCCGGAGGAACACCAGUGGCGAAAGCGGCCUCCUGGCCCAUUUCUGACGCUCAGACGCGAAAGCUAGGGUAGCAAACGGGAUUAGAGACCCCGGUAGUCCUAGCUGUAGACGAUGUGAACUUGGCGUCGGCGGGUUUAAAUCCGUCGGUGCCGAAGCUAACGCGAUAAGUCACCGCCUGGGAUACGCCGCA
Molecule: ribosomal RNA, 835 nt
Filed under: uncultured bacterium
Lineage: Bacteria
Description: bacterial SSU rRNA
Rfam family: Bacterial small subunit ribosomal RNA
Source: RNAcentral